Molecule: ribosomal RNA, 714 nt
Filed under: uncultured Bacteroidales bacterium
Lineage: Bacteria; Pseudomonadati; Bacteroidota; Bacteroidia; Bacteroidales
Description: bacterial SSU rRNA
Rfam family: Bacterial small subunit ribosomal RNA
Source: RNAcentral
CAGCACGAUGUAGCAAUACAUUGGUGGCGACCGGCGCACGGGUGAGUAACGCGUAUGCAACCUACCUAUCAGAGGGGAAUAACCCGGCGAAAGUCGGACUAAUACCGCAUAAAACAGGGGUUCCACAUGGAAAUAUUUGUUAAAGAAUUAUCGCUGAUAGAUGGGCAUGCGUUCCAUUAGAUAGUUGGUGAGGUAACGGCUCACCAAGUCCACGAUGGAUAGGGGUUCUGAGAGGAAGGUCCCCCACACUGGUACUGAGACACGGACCAGACUCCUACGGGAGGCAGCAGUGAGGAAUAUUGGUCAAUGGGCGAGAGCCUGAACCAGCCAAGUCGCGUGAAGGAUGAAGGAUCUAUGGUUUGUAAACUUCCUUUAUAUGGGAAUAAAGUGAGGAACGUGUUCCUUUUUGUAUGUACCAUAUGAAUAAGCAUCGGCUAACUCCGUGCCAGCAGCCGCGGUAAUACGGAGGAUGCGAGCGUUAUCCGGAUUUAUUGGGUUUAAAGGGUGCGUAGGUGGUUAAUUAAGUCAGCGGUGAAAGUUUGUGGCUCAACCAUAAAAUUGCCGUUGAAACUGGUUGACUUGAGUAUAUUUGAGGUAGGCGGAAUGCGUGGUGUAGCGGUGAAAUGCAUAGAUAUCACGCAGAACUCCGAUUGCGAAGGCAGCUUACUAAACUAUAACUGACACUGAAGCACGAAAGCGUGGGGAUCAAACAGG